GCCAAACAGCUAGCUUAAUCACCUAAACAAUUUACACAACAUUAAAAUAUUUCAUACAACCCCAACAAACCAAACCAAAACAUUUUACCGCCCUAGUAUGUGAGACAAAAAAGGCACACCUUACUUAAAGCUAUAGUAAAAGUACCGCAAGGGAACGCUGAAAGAGAAAUGAAAUAAAUCAUCCAAGCACAACAAAGCAGAGAUUUAAUCUCGUACCUUUUGCAUCAUGAUUUAGCUAAUCCCUCUGAGCAAAGAGAACUUUAGUUCAAGCCCCCGAAACUAAGUGAGCUACCCCGGGACAGCCAACAAAUUAUUGGGCCAACCCGUCUCUGUGGCAAAAGAGUGGGAAGAUCCCCGGGUAGAGGUGACAGACCUACCGAACUUAGUUAUAGCUGGUUGCCUAGGAAAUGAAUAGAAGUUCAGCCUCGUGCCCCUCAACUCAUAUAUUCAAUACGAGUAAGAGAAAUCCCCGAGAGUUAGUCAUAGGGGGUACAGCCCCUAUGAAACAGAAUACAAUCUCCACAGGAGGUUACAGAUUAUACUAAACAAGAUAACGCGCUCUAGUGGGCCUAAAAGCAGCCACCUUAACAGAAAGCGUUAAAGCUCCGGCAGCACAAAAAUCUAUUAUCCAAAUAUUAUAUCUAAAACCCCUAAAAAUACUAGGCUAUCCCAUGUAAACAUGGGAGAAAUGCUGCUAAAAUGAGUAAUAAGAAGUAAAUAUACUUCUCCGGGGCCUAUGUGUAUGCCAGAUCGGACCCACCACUGGCAAUUAUCGAACCCAACAAAAGAGGGCAUUAUGAACACUAAAUUAACAAGAAAUUAUCAUACGACCCAAUCGUUAACCCCACACCGGAAGGCCACCUUUAAAGGAAAGACUAAAAGAAAAGGAAGGAACUCGGCAAACACAAGCCUCGCCUGUUUACCAAAAACAUCGCCUCCUGCAAAACUCAAAGUAUAGGAGGUCUUACCUGCCCAGUGACAAGUUAAACGGCCGCGGUAUUUUGACCGUGCAAAGGUAGCGCAAUCACUUGUCUUUUAAAUGAAGACCUGUAUGAAUGGUGGAACGAGGGCUUAACUGUCUCCCCUUUCAAGUCAAUGAAGUUGAUCUGCCCGUGCAGAAGCGGACAUAUAAAUACAAGACGAGAAGACCCUUUGGAGCUUAAGACCCAAGAUCAACUAUGUCAAUACAAUAAACGUUGAAUCAAACUAAAUAGUAUCUGAUCCUCGUCUUCGGUUGGGGCGACCACGGAAGAAAACAAAGCUUCCAUGAGGACUGAAGCCACAGGCUUUAAAACCAAGAAAGACAUUUCUAAGUAGCAGAAUAUCUGACCAUUAAGAUCCGGCAAUCAAGCCGAUCAACGAACCAAGUUACCCUAGGGAUAACAGCGCAAUCCUCUUUAAGAGUCCAUAUCGACAAGAGGGUUUACGACCUCGAUGUUGGAUCAGGACAUCCUAAUGGUGCAGCCGCUAUUAAGGGUUCGUUUGUUCAACGAUUAAAGUCCUACGUGAUCUGAGUUCAGACCGGAGCAAUCCAGGUCAGUUUCUAUCUGUAAUGAUACUUCUUCCCAGUACGAAAGGACAGGAAAAAGGGGGCCCAUAUUAAUAAUACGCCCUACCCCUAUUUAAUGAAGACAACUAAAUUAAAUAAAGGAGAAACAUAACACUAACAAAUCAAGAAAGAUUAUUAAGA
This 1690-nucleotide ribosomal RNA is filed under the name Ageneiosus ucayalensis. Its description in RNAcentral is "partial 16S ribosomal RNA". The stretch from base 99 to 1570 matches the Rfam family "Bacterial large subunit ribosomal RNA". Lineage: Eukaryota; Metazoa; Chordata; Actinopteri; Siluriformes; Auchenipteridae. The record is from RNAcentral.